RNAcentral lists this ribosomal RNA (496 nucleotides) under uncultured bacterium. RNAcentral's name for it is "partial 16S ribosomal RNA". It matches the Rfam family "Bacterial small subunit ribosomal RNA", at positions 28 to 507 of the family's 1533-position model. The record is from RNAcentral.
GAUGAACGCUGGCGGCGUGCCUAAUACAUGCAAGUCGAGCGAACAGACGAGGAGCUUGCUCCUCUGACGUUAGCGGCGGACGGGUGAGUAACACGUGGAUAACCUACCUAUAAGACUGGGAUAACUUCGGGAAACCGGAGCUAAUACCGGAUAAUAUAUUGAACCGCAUGGUUCAAUAGUGAAAGACGGUUUUGCUGUCACUUAUAGAUGGAUCCGCGCCGCAUUAGCUAGUGGUUAGGUAACGGCUUACCAAGGCAACGAUGCGUAGCCGACCUGAGAGGGUGAUCGGCCACACUGGAACUGAGACACGGUCCAGACUCCUACGGGAGGCAGCAGUAGGGAAUCUUCCGCAAUGGGCGAAAGCCUGACGGAGCAACGCCGCGUGAGUGAUGAAGGUCUUCGGAUCGUAAAACUCUGUUAUUAGGGAAGAACAAAUGUGUAAGUAACUAUGCACGUCUUGACGGUACCUAAUCAGAAAGCCACGGCUAACUACGUG